GUCCAUAUCCCGUUGAAACACCGGUUAUUGUCCGAUCACCAAAGUUAAGCAAUGUUGAGCCUGGUCACUACUCAGAUGGGUAAUCACUAGUGAAUAUCAGGUCCUGUAAG
Acanthosepion pharaonis is the source of this 110-nucleotide non-coding RNA. The record is from the annotation of a GenBank genome assembly. NCBI's taxonomy places the organism in Eukaryota, Metazoa, Mollusca, Cephalopoda, Sepiida, Sepiidae.